Triticum aestivum (bread wheat) is the source of this 2934-nucleotide RNA transcript. RefSeq lists it as uncharacterized. Lineage: Eukaryota; Viridiplantae; Streptophyta; Magnoliopsida; Poales; Poaceae. The transcript has 8 exons. The record is from RefSeq and is a predicted model, not a curated record.
GAGCCUUUAGCUAAAAAAAAAAGGGUUCAGAGCCCACCGCACAUUUCGGCACCGCACAUUUCGGCACCGCACUCGACUCCACGGGCAGCGACACGGCCUACGCCGACGAGCACCCGCCGUCGCCCCCUUCCUCGCCCGUUUCCGCCUGAAUCCUCCGUCACUCUCAGCCUCCGCGCACCCAUCUCCGCCUGGUCGAUAUCGCUCGUACCAUCUUCGGCUCCAACCCCAAGCCGAUCCGACGCCGGCUGCCUGUUCGACAGAAUGCCUGAGAGCGUGGCGCCCGGCGGGGAGGACCGCAUCGGCGCCCUCCCGGACGAUCUCCUCCGCCGCGUGCUGUCGUUCCUUACCUCGCGCGAGUCCGUCUGCACAUGCGUGCUCGCUCGCUGCUGGCGCCACCUCUGGAAGUCCGUGCCCGUGGUGCGCGUCAUGGUGCCGGUGCCCAUCGAUAGAGAAGGGGAGGAAGAGCUCUGGUUUGUUAAUUCGCUGCUUCUCCUCCGCGACCGGGCGCCGCUGCAUGAGGUCGAUAUCAGAACCUACCUCGACGACCCAUCGGCACCCCUCAACGUUGAGCUGUGGCUCCGAUAUGCGGCAUCCUGCCAUGUUCGGGUGCUUCGAGUUUGGGUGCUUCCGAGUUUACAGUCGGCGUCUGCAGCUACCCAACGUGACUCUCAUCUGCCAGCACCUGACAGUAUUAGAUUUCGCUGGUAUGAAAUUUGAGGAACACACUCUGAAUUUUUCAAGCUGCCCAAUGCUAGAGGUAUUAAAGAUGUAUGAUUGUAAAAUCAGCGCCGAGAAGAUCUUGUGCAAAUCGUUAAGGCAUCUAACUAUGGAGAUAUGCCGUUUUGACCUGUAUGGCCGCACUCGUAUCUCUUGCCCAAGUCUCACUGCCUUAACUAGUUGACAAUUUGGGUUGGACUCCUUCCCUUGAGAGCAUGCCGUUAUUGGUAACGGCACUUGUCAGGUUUGAUGAAGAAUGGUGUGAACGUCAAGCGUGUUAUGAUCAUUGUCUUAAUGGUGGUUACUAUGGGGACUGUGAUGAUGAGCUAUGUCCUUCUUGCCUCUGUCAUGGCGAUGACUGUGUGCUUCUAAAAGGUCUAUGUGACGCUACAAAUUUGAAGUUGACAAGUGCUCCUCAAGCGAUUAUUUGCACCAGGGAUUUUAAAUGGUGCCAUACGUUUAGCAAGUUAAAAACAUUGUUUCUCAAUGAGUGGUGCCUGGCUGCUGACUUCGGUGGACUGGUUUACUUUCUUCAGCACUCACCAAUUCUAGAGAGGCUUACCCUUCAACUUAGACUUCGUGAGAAACAAUCUAUGGAUGGAAAAAAUGCAAGCUACAAUCCAAGAAAACAAUUCUUGGUAUCAAAGAAUCUUAAAGUAGUCGAAAUCAAGUGUCACAAGGAAGAUGAAAGGAUUCACCAAAUUGUAAAGAUCCUUGUCAGCCUUGGAGUACCUCCUGAGAAUAUUGACAACCAACAGAACGAUGUGUGGUCUGAUUCACAAUGGCUCGCGGUGACCAUCAAGAUGAUGAUGAUGACUUCAUGGAGUUACCGUAACAGAAUCGCGCGACCGGUCGGACAAAAGAUGGCGAUGAGAAAUGUUACCGCAAUAGGGCUUCGCAAAAACGCCUGACUAUAUUGACUGAGGGAUUUACUGAUGAGCAGAAGGGAGCUGCCGGUGAGAUGGGGAUACACGCUCUGAUGGAUGUUCGGUGCAAGAACCUAGUAAAUCCUGUAUGUGACUGGCUCGGUGAGAUAUAUGAGACUGGCUCGGUGAGAUAUAUGAGCCUGCCUCUAGGGAAUUCGUGAUUCCGGGACGUGGAAGAUUGCCUUUGGAUGAGGAAUCUGUGUUCUGCACUUUGGGUGUGCCCGUUGGAGAAAUCAAAGUCCCGUAUAAGGUGAAUAAUAAGAUUGAGGAAGCCUUGUUCGCCCGUUUGUUUUCUGGAAUGGCAUCCAUGCCAAAUACGACUGUGCUGGCAACUUCGCUGGAGGCCAUGAAAACCCAUAGCGAGGUAUUUAAGAUGAAGCUGCUCAUGUACUUGAUUUUAGUUGUUUUUGCGCCUACCACAUCUCUUUGCCCAAGCAACAAGUGCUUCCCUAUCCUGGUGAAGCUGAAAGAUGUUAAGAACAUGAAUUGGUGUAAAUUCAUUGCAGACUUCCUGCAUGAUGCAUUCUUAAACAAGAUGUAUCAGAAGGGCUGUCGCUUGCACCUAAUGGUAUUUUCCCCCUACUUUUUUGCAAAUGCUCUUAUCACAUUCAUUCUUUUCCUAAAUCAACAUUGCAGCUGUUCAUAAGUGUGAACCAACUUGUUUUGCAAUUUUGGUAUCUCUAUUUGUCCAUAAUCUGCCAAUCGAAAGUUUUUGAUUGAUCUUUUAACUGGAUUUUGUUUUUUCCUUUUUUUGAUGGCAACCGAUUAAGAACGUGCAUGGCAACCCUUUGUUUUCAUUUUUAUGUGCCUCUUUUACAUGUGAAAGUGAUUUUUGUUUGAUCCAUGACAUCUGUAGUUGCCGCCUACAAGGUAAUAGUAUUUUUCUACAACACAAAAAGUGUUCUUUUCAUACAUUUAUUUUCUUUAUACAAUCUGGAUGGCAACUACCAUGUUGAAGUGGUGGCAACUACCAGCAUAACAUGAUGGCAACUGCCAGCAUAACAUGAUGGCAACUAACAUAGAUAGAUGCUCAUGUACGUCGAUCUUCUUGAUCUGUCCACUGUCGACUUUACUGAGAUAGGAGGCCCGCCGCCUUCACAUAAGUUUGCUAUCUCUGCGUGGACGUACAAUGGUGUCAAGGUUGUGCUUGCCGCAGACAGGAUAUCUGAUACAAAAUAUGGAAAACUGCAGCUGAUGGCCAAGCAUGCUAUAGAUUACAGUGUGUUUGGUGGGCCACAAAACUUUGGCAAGUGGAUGGAUGUGCAUUCAGCUCUAUCUUGUUCUGCUGAGG